RNAcentral lists this ribosomal RNA (463 nucleotides) under uncultured bacterium. RNAcentral's name for it is "partial 16S ribosomal RNA". It matches the Rfam family "Bacterial small subunit ribosomal RNA", at positions 28 to 507 of the family's 1533-position model. The record is from RNAcentral.
GACGAACGCUGGCGGCGUGCUUAACACAUGCAAGUCGAACGGUGAACCUCUUCGGAGGGGAUCAGUGGCGAACGGGUGAGUAACACGUGGGCAACCUGCCCCCGGCUCUGGGAUAACUCCAAGAAAUUGGGGCUAAUACCGGAUGUUCACCGCUUCCCGCAUGGGUGGUGGUGGAAAGGGUUUCCGGCUGGGGAUGGGCCCGCGGCCUAUCAGCUUGUUGGUGGGGUAGUGGCCUACCAAGGCGACGACGGGUAGCCGGCCUGAGAGGGUGACCGGCCACACUGGGACUGAGACACGGCCCAGACUCCUACGGGAGGCAGCAGUGGGGAAUGUUGCGCAAUGGGCGGAAGCCUGACGCAGCGACGCCGCGUGGGGGAUGACGGCCUUCGGGUUGUAAACCUCUUUCAGCAGGGACGAAGCGCAAGUGACGGUACCUGCAGAAGAAGCACCGGCCAACUACGUG